CAACCUUAUUUUUCUNNNNNNNNNNAACUUAAGCAUAUCAAUAAGCGGAGGAAAAGAAACCAACCGGGAUUGCCUCAGUAACGGCGAGUGAAGCGGCAAGAGCUCAAAUUUGAAAGCUGGCCCCUUCGGGGUCCGCGUUGUAAUUUGCAGAGGAUGCUUCGGGUGCGGCCCCUGUCUAAGUGCCCUGGAACGGGCCGUCAGAGAGGGUGAGAAUCCCGUCUUGGGCAGGGUGCCCGUGCCCGUGUGAAGCUCCUUCGACGAGUCGAGUUGUUUGGGAAUGCAGCUCUAAAUGGGUGGUAAAUUUCAUCUAAAGCUAAAUACCGGCCGGAGACCGAUAGCGCACAAGUAGAGUGAUCGAAAGAUGAAAAGCACUUUGAAAAGAGAGUUAAACAGCACGUGAAAUUGUUGAAAGGGAAGCGCUUGCGACCAGACUCGGCCCCGGGGUUCAGCCAGCACUCGUGCUGGUGUACUUCCCCGGGGGCGGGCCAGCGUCGGUUUGGGCGGCCGGUCAAAGGCCCCAGGAAUGUAUCGCCCUCCGGGGUUGUCUUAUAGCCUGGGGUGCAAUGCGGCCAGCCCGGACCGAGGAACGCGCUUCGGCACGGACGCUGGCGUAAUGGUCGCAAACGACCCGUCUUGAAACACGGACCAAGGAGUCUAACAUCUACGCGAGUGUUCGGGUGUCAAACCCGUACGCGCAGUGAAAGCGAACGGAGGUGGGAGCCCCCCCGGGGCGCACCAUCGACCGAUCCUGAUGUCUUCGGAUGGAUUUGAGUAAGAGCGUAGCUGUGGGGACCCGAAAGAUGGUGAACUAUGCCUGAAUAGGGCGAAGCCAGAGGAAACUCUGGUGGAGGCUCGCAGCGGUUCUGACGUGCAAAUCGAUCGUCAAAUUUGGGUAUAGGGGCGAAAGACUAAUCGAACCAUCUGGUAGCUGGUUCCUGCCGAAGUUUCCCUCAGGAUAGCAGUAACGCGGAUCAGUUUUAUGAGGUAAAGCGAAUGAUUAGAGGCAUUGGGGUUGAAACAACCUUAACCUAUUCUCAAACUUUAAAUAUGUAAGAAGCCCUUGUUG
RNAcentral lists this ribosomal RNA (1066 nucleotides) under Aspergillus brasiliensis. RNAcentral describes it as "partial 28S ribosomal RNA". It matches the Rfam family "Eukaryotic large subunit ribosomal RNA", at positions 1 to 1089 of the family's 3401-position model. Lineage: Eukaryota; Fungi; Ascomycota; Eurotiomycetes; Eurotiales; Aspergillaceae. The record is from RNAcentral.